RNAcentral lists this long non-coding RNA (1754 nucleotides) under Nicotiana tabacum (common tobacco). Its description in RNAcentral is "long non-coding RNA (NTAB_LNC012394)". Lineage: Eukaryota; Viridiplantae; Streptophyta; Magnoliopsida; Solanales; Solanaceae. The record is from RNAcentral.
UGAUGCUUAAAACGGUUUUAGCAUCUUGCUGAUAAGCCUGUUUGAUAUACUCAUGGAAUAGAAUUGUAAUGUACGCUGAAUGAAGGAAAAACUAACAAGAGAAUUUCUUCUUAAUCUGGACCAAUACCUUCACGGCUUUACAUCCUUUCUUUUUGGUCCUUGCAUUUUAAGCUUUAAAUUUUGUUGGAAAGUAGCUAAUUUUAUAAGCAAAACAUUUGCAGGUGCGGGUACUUGAAAUGGCCCUUGUGAACAGAUGGUCUAGGAAAGGGAUAAAACCAAUAAGUCACAAGCUUCUUCCUGAUUGCCGGCAAUGUGUAAAGAACGAACUACUUUAGUCUUUAGGAAAUUUUUAUUUUCUUUUUUUGGGGAAGGGAGAAAAUAUAUACUAUCUAUUAUACAGAGUAGUCCAUGUUUGAUAUUUUGGCUGUGCAUAGGAGUACCAACAACAGCAACAUGAUUCAAAAGCCUGCCUUUGGAAUCUGCAAGAAGGGAAAGUGCAUAUUUAGGCAUUUGUUUUAAGUGCAUAUUUAGGCAUUUGUUCGACUGAUCAUAUCCUAACAAAGUGUACAAGAAUAUUCUGAAGUGCAUAUUUAGGCAUUUGUUUGACUGAAUCAUAUCCUAGCAAAGUGUACAAAGAAUCUUACUCCUACCCCUUGGCUUCUGGUGCUGGAAUGUGAAGAUAAAUUUGAUAUUAGCCAAAUGGGAUUGUCUUUUCCACUUUUUUACCUGGUGUUCGGUAUCUAAUUGGGUACCAACUAAUGAAAUUGUUGAGAAACAUGAUAUCAACGUUUAUUUAUUCAACUUCAUUGUUGACUCAAAACGAAUCAGCUAUGGUACUAAAGGGAGAAUGCAUAAUUAACCCCUCCUUACCAUGUCUUCUUUUGCAAUUACACACCUAAUUAUCAUCUUAUUUGCUGAUAUGGCACAGAAAGUCUUGUAACUCAACUUGAGUUGUUGUGAAGAGUAAAAUACAAGACAAAAGAUACAACUUAGGGCUAGAAAAUAUCAUAUUUUCAACCAAACAUGUCUCAUUUCUCCAACCCCAUCUAACACGCUCCCUACUUCGUUUUAUGGUGCAUUUAAGUUUAAUCCGACUACUAUAAUUUUGGAUUUCUGUUAAAGGGUUCAAAAAAGAAAAGUUUUGAAAAAUAAAAAAGACUAUGGCCAAAGGGAAUUGAACCAGCAACCUAACAAAGGUUUUGAAACCCCUUGACCACUAAGCUCUACUUUUAGGAUGUGUUAAAGUGAUUCAAAAUAUAAUAUAUACAAGUACAAAAUGAAUUUUGACUUACAUGUACAAUGUUUUCGCCCCCUAAAUCCGGAACAUAAACUCAUGUUCUCACGAUCAAACUAAGUAUUUUGUAUACAUAUUUUCUAAAACUAAUCUAAACUUGGUUGAAUGGUGCACUUGGUUAAAGAUUAAGUUAUUUAUCUAAAAGAAUAGGGAUUGAUUCUCACUUACCCCAUUUUUUCACUCUUCCUUUUUAGUGAUGCACAUGUUUUGAAAAUUCUAAAUACGCCCCAGCUUCCAUGGCAAGCAAUGGCAUUAUAUAUCUUCUUUUUUUUGUCUAUCCGUAACUUGUGAUUUUUUGUGCAAUGAUUGAAACUGGAAAGGAUCUGCAAUGAUAUUUUCUUUUUCUUUUGGUCUUUCAUCUGUAAUUUAAUUUUUUUCACCAAACAGGGACACAUGUAUCAAAUUGACAUAAAUGUUCAGAGAAGACUAGUUAGACUUCUAUAAUAAUGAUACCCCAAGU